UCCCUGGUAGUCCAGUGGUUAAGACUCUGUACUUUCAAUGCAGGGAGCAUAGGAUGGAUCCCUGGUUGGGGAA
RNAcentral lists this transfer RNA (73 nucleotides) under Bos taurus (domestic cattle). It matches the Rfam family "tRNA". From Rfam's summary of the family: Transfer RNA (tRNA) molecules are approximately 80 nucleotides in length. Their secondary structure includes four short double-helical elements and three loops (D, anti-codon, and T loops). RNAcentral also lists the same sequence under 1 other name. Lineage: Eukaryota; Metazoa; Chordata; Mammalia; Artiodactyla; Bovidae. The record is from Rfam by way of RNAcentral.